UUGCAAUCAGAAAUCACAGAGGAACCUAAUUUGCAUGGACAGACACUCCCCUUCUCAGAGUAUGUAGAGGGCAAGAAGGAGACUUGGGGAAACCUCUGUUCAGCAUCAGGAACAGAAGGUAGAGCUCAGGAUGACCUUCAUGAUGGCCUGGUCCUGUCUCCUCUUCACAUUCCUUGUUCACUGCACAGAGUCCUGGGCCCAGUCUGUGCUGACUCAGCAGCCCUCACUGUCUGGGACUCCAGGAGAGAUGGUCACCAUCUCCUGCACUGGAAGCAGCAACAAUAUUGGGGGUGGCUCUGAUGCACACUGUUAUCAGCAGUUCCCAGAAACAGCCCCUAAACUCCUUAUCUAUGGUAAUAGUAUUCGACCCUCAGGGGUCCCUGAUCGCUCCUCUGGCUCCAAGUCUGGCAACUCUGCUUUGCUUACCAUCAUUGGGAUUCAGCCUGAGGAUGAGGCUGACUAUUUCUCUCAGUCUUAUGAUUACAGCCUUGGUGCUUGCACAGUGCUCCAGGCUCAUGGGGAACUUGAGAUGCUGAACAUUCAGGAUGUUGUGGUCUCCUUUACCUGA
This is a non-coding RNA of Marmota monax (woodchuck), 568 nucleotides long. The record is from the annotation of a RefSeq genome assembly. NCBI's taxonomy places the organism in Eukaryota, Metazoa, Chordata, Mammalia, Rodentia, Sciuridae.